RNAcentral lists this transfer RNA (72 nucleotides) under Camelus bactrianus (Bactrian camel). It matches the Rfam family "tRNA". From Rfam's summary of the family: Transfer RNA (tRNA) molecules are approximately 80 nucleotides in length. Their secondary structure includes four short double-helical elements and three loops (D, anti-codon, and T loops). The record is from Rfam by way of RNAcentral. RNAcentral also lists the same sequence under 2 other names. Lineage: Eukaryota; Metazoa; Chordata; Mammalia; Artiodactyla; Camelidae.
GUUGGUAUAGCUCAGUGGUAGAGCACAUGCUUAGCAUACACGAGGUUCUGGGUUCGAUCCCCAUUUCCUCCA